RNAcentral lists this unclassified non-coding RNA (1154 nucleotides) under Leishmania donovani. RNAcentral describes it as "gene:unknown". The record is from RNAcentral. Lineage: Eukaryota; Euglenozoa; Kinetoplastea; Trypanosomatida; Trypanosomatidae.
GGCGUCCGACAUCCCCGUAUCCAUCCUCCGUUCCUCGCCACCCACGCCAUCAACCCCAGCCGCACGUCGGUGCGGCGUUCUCCUCCUAUCGCUCUGUUGUCGUGAUUUCUCUCACCCUUCUGCACCCCGCUUUUCCCGACACUUUUUGCUUUUCUCUUCUCUAUUGCCAUGUGUGCGUCUUACACGGGUAGGCGUAUGGGUAUGCGUCUGUGUGAAGGAGGGGGUGUCUCGCGCCUUCGUUUCUUAGCGUGUUUUGCUUCGCAUUUUGACCUUGUUAAGAGCGGUUCAUUGAUUGCGGCAUGCUUGCUUGUCAGCGUGCCUUCCCUUUUGUUAUAUGGGAGUGUCUGCUUUGGCGUCCGCGUGCCGGGAUAGACUCUGCUUACUCCACUCUGAGCUUUUCUAGCGGUUUUGAAGUGGAGGGCACGGGCUCGCAGUACUGGGGAAUAGCGAGAGAAGGGAGGGCCAGGCUGGUGAGGUGGUGGAGCGUUUGGACGAGCACGAUAAGAGCGAAGUUAUUCCUAGGCGCUUCUUGUUCUUGUUUCUUCUGUGCGGUACAACAUGUACGUCUUAGUGUGUGCUAUGGACUGUAUCGGUGUAGUGUGAGUACCCUAGCGUAUAGUAGAGUUGCGAGGCUGUUGGUGGCGGGAGUUAGGGUGGGGUAGGGACUGAGGUUAGGGAGGAAAAGGACUCGAAUGUUGGGUGCGCGCCAUCUCAGAUGACACAAAUAACUUCGAGUUCAGGUCUUCGAAAGAAGAAGGUGUGUUGCUAAGCGACAGCAGUACGACGAGGCGUAUCAUCAUCAACUUACCUCCACCCUCCCUCGACCUCCUCCUCGACCGCCUUCUCUGUCUACCGUGGUCGUGCUUUGGCUCUCCCUAAAGAAGUUCCGCUUUUGCCAAUGUGCUUCUUUCGUUGGUGUAUCGAUGUCACCGUUUCUACUGUUAUUCUCCUCACCGCAUCCUUCCCCUCGUAGCCCCCUCUUCUUCCUUCAUGUAGCAACGUUCUUUAGCUCAGCUGCCGUAUCGAUUCUAUUCCCUUCGCCAUCUUUUGUGUGUGUGCGUGUGUGUCUGUGCGCUUUCCGGCGCAAAGUUAUGUGGAUAUCGGUGCCGCUCGGUGAAUGUGUUCUUGCUCCCUUUCAUUCAGUGGUGAUAGCG